CUACGGGAGGCAGCAGUGGGGAAUAUUGCACAAUGGGCGCAAGCCUGAUGCAGCCAUGCCGCGUGUAUGAAGAAGGCCUUCGGGUUGUAAAGUACUUUCAGCGAGGAGGAAGGCAUUGUGGUUAAUAACCACAGUGAUUGACGUUACUCGCAGAAGAAGCACCGGCUAACUCCGUGCCAGCAGCCGCGGUAAUACGGAGGGUGCAAGCGUUAAUCGGAAUUACUGGGCGUAAAGCGCACGCAGGCGGUCUGUCAAGUCGGAUGUGAAAUCCCCGGGCUCAACCUGGGAACUGCAUUCGAAACUGGCAGGCUAGAGUCUUGUAGAGGGGAGUAGAAUUCCAGGUGUAGCGGUGAAAUGCGUAGAGAUCUGGAGGAAUACCGGUGGCGAAGGCGGCCCCCUGGACAAAGACUGACGCUCAGGUGCGAAAGCGUGGGGAGCAAACAGGAUUAGAUACCCGCGUAGUCC
RNAcentral lists this ribosomal RNA (465 nucleotides) under uncultured bacterium. RNAcentral describes it as "bacterial SSU rRNA". It matches the Rfam family "Bacterial small subunit ribosomal RNA", at positions 339 to 796 of the family's 1533-position model. The record is from RNAcentral.